AAUCUGUAUGUGAAAGGAACUGAAAUAUUCCCCCUUCUUUUGGUGUUCUACAGCCUGGUCAGUCUGAUUUACCCCUUGGAGCAGUCAGUGGAACGAUUCCUGUUGGCCGGACAGGGAAAUGGCUGAGGCCAGCGGAUGUCUGGGGACAAGGCCGGAUGACCUUACACCCUCUGCUCUGCUGCUUGUCACAAGAGAUGAGAGAAAUGGGAGGGUCAGAAACCUGAGAAAGGGCCUCAUCUUCCCCUCCUCCUCUAGGCAAUUCCUGGAAACUUAACAAGGCAAGCAAAACAGAGCAUCUGCAGG
RNAcentral lists this long non-coding RNA (303 nucleotides) under Dromaius novaehollandiae (emu). Its description in RNAcentral is "lncRNA (ENSDNVG00000015818.1)". Lineage: Eukaryota; Metazoa; Chordata; Aves; Casuariiformes; Dromaiidae. The record is from RNAcentral.